UACGUAGGGGGCGAGCGUUGUCCGGAUUUAUUGGGCGUAAAGAGCGUGUAGGCGGCCAGGUAGGUCUGCUGUGAAAACUCGAGGCUCAACCUCGAGACGUCGGCGGAAACCAUCUGGCUAGAGUCCGGAAGAGGAGAGUGGAAUUCCUGGUGUAGCGGUGAAAUGCGCAGAUAUCAGGAAGAACACCUAUGGCGAAGGCAGCUCUCUGGGACGGUACUGACGCUGAGACGCGAAAGCGUGGGGAGCAAACAGG
Molecule: ribosomal RNA, 253 nt
Filed under: uncultured bacterium
Lineage: Bacteria
Description: partial 16S ribosomal RNA
Rfam family: Bacterial small subunit ribosomal RNA
Source: RNAcentral